This 426-nucleotide ribosomal RNA is filed under the name uncultured bacterium. RNAcentral's name for it is "bacterial SSU rRNA". It matches the Rfam family "Bacterial small subunit ribosomal RNA", at positions 355 to 773 of the family's 1533-position model. The record is from RNAcentral.
UGGGGAAUUUUGGACAAUGGGGGCAACCCUGAUCCAGCAAUGCCGCGUGUGUGAAGAAGGCCUUCGGGUUGUAAAGCACUUUUGUCCGGAAAGAAAUCCUCUGGGUUAAUACCUCGGGGGGAUGACGGUACCGGAAGAAUAAGCACCGGCUAACUACGUGCCAGCAGCCGCGGUAAUACGUAGGGUGCGAGCGUUAAUCGGAAUUACUGGGCGUAAAGCGUGCGCAGGCGGUUCGUUAAGUUCGUUGUGAAAGCCCCGGGCUCAACCUGGGAACUGCAAUGGAAACUGGCGGGCUUGAAUGCGGCAGAGGGGGGUGGAAUUCCGCGUGUAGCAGUGAAAUGCGUAGAGAUGCGGAGGAACACCGAUGGCGAAGGCAGCCCCCUGGGCCGACAUUGACGCUCAGGCACGAAAGCGUGGGGAGCAAAC